RNAcentral lists this ribosomal RNA (253 nucleotides) under uncultured bacterium. RNAcentral's name for it is "partial 16S ribosomal RNA". It matches the Rfam family "Bacterial small subunit ribosomal RNA", at positions 524 to 776 of the family's 1533-position model. The record is from RNAcentral.
UACGUAGGGCGCAAGCGUUGUCCGGAAUUAUUGGGCGUAAAGAGCUCGUAGGCGGCCUGUUGCGUCCGCUGUGAAAUCCCGGGGCUCAACCCCGGGCCUGCAGUGGAUACGGGCUGGCUGGAGGCAGGCAGGGGAGAACGGAAUUCCUGGUGUAGCGGUGAAAUGCGCAGAUAUCAGGAGGAACACCGGUGGCGAAGGCAGUGUCCUGGGGAGUACCUGACGCUCAGGUGCGAAAGCCAGGGGAGCGAACGGG